RNA transcript from Harmonia axyridis, 1410 nucleotides. RefSeq lists it as uncharacterized. NCBI's taxonomy places the organism in Eukaryota, Metazoa, Arthropoda, Insecta, Coleoptera, Coccinellidae. The transcript has 5 exons. The record is from RefSeq and is a predicted model, not a curated record.
AUUUAUAUCUUGUGUUUGUUCUUGCAAGUUUGUGAAAAUACAACUGUUUCAUCAUGUCUGAACUUAAAAAUCAAGUUAACUCAGAAAAUAAAAAAAGGGAUAUAGAUUAUGUUCCAUCCGAGCUGUCUAAAUUAAGCACUAGGAGUUCAGAGAGUGAUAGAAGAAGCGAUAUAGAUAGCGCUUCAGAAGGAGAAACUGCUAGGAAGGAAGACAAUAAAACAUGGCGCAUCAAAUUUAAAAUGAUAACAAAAGGUGAAAACCCCACUUAUGAGAUCGUGAAGCCAAGCGAUAAGAGGGAUGAAUUGAACGAAAAAACGCUACCUCGCAAAGAGGCAAAAAAAGGAAGAACGAAGAAGCCGAGACAGAAAAGGCAAAAAGAAGGAAGACAAAAAAGGCAAAAAAAAAAGAGACAGAAAAGGCAGAAAGAAGGAAGACCGAAGAAGCCGAGACAGAAGAGGCAAAAAAGAAGAAGAGCGAAGAAGCCGAGACAGAAGACGCAAAAAUGAGGAAGGGCGAAGAAGCCCAGUCAAAAAGGAAUGAAUCAAAGUUGGGACCAAAGGAGGUAUUCCCAGACGGCACUAAUUCGAAGGAUCCUAAGCACGAGUCAAAGUCGCCGCCAUCAAAAUCUAGCCCGAGUCAAGAGAGAGUAAUAGAGAAGCUUUAUGUGCCUAGUAUAACAGAACUCAACUUGAUUCGGAUGUCCAUGCAUCACUUGGAAAAAAUGAUGGUUAUGCCAUGUUUUGCAAGUCUAGCAAUAGGCUGUUUUGUUAGAAUUGGAAUUGGCCAAAACGGGAAUGAGAUUUAUGUAGCUGCACAAAUAUUGGAUGUUUGUGAAACAUCCAACGUGUACAUGGUAGGAAGUACAAGAACGAACAAGGCAUUCGAAGUACGAAUCGAAAAGGAAUAUAAGGUCUUCAGAUUUGAAUUCGUUUCUGAUGAAGAUAUCAAUGGUAGCGAAUACCACCAAUGGCUAAAAACGCAUAUAGAUACCAAAGACCCUUUUCCAACCAAAGAACUGGUAAAACAAAAACAAAGAGAUAUAAGGGGCGGUAUGACAUAUGAAUACAACCCCCAAGAAAUUGAAAGAGCUAUCAAGGAAAGGGAUAGAUUUUUACCGAAAACCACACAAUAUACGAAUAAUGAGGAGCAUAUUUGCAAAAGAAAAAGAAGCAGCAAUGAAAAAAAAAGAUUACGACAGGGCCAAUCAAUUGGACAUUAGGUUGGAUGAGUUGGAUCAAAUGUGGAGGAAUCUUGAAGAAGCCGCUAUUGCGCAGAAACACGCGGCGAAUAACGCAGAAGAGGCUUUUGAUCCUUUCACAAGACGUCCCACAAGACCUGCACCAAGAGUGGUACCUAAACCACCACCACAACCAAGAACGGCAGAAAGCAAUGGUCCUUUUAAAGAUCAUU